RNAcentral lists this transfer RNA (92 nucleotides) under Eggerthellaceae bacterium. Its description in RNAcentral is "tRNA-Ser". It matches the Rfam family "tRNA". Rfam says of the family: Transfer RNA (tRNA) molecules are approximately 80 nucleotides in length. Their secondary structure includes four short double-helical elements and three loops (D, anti-codon, and T loops). Further hydrogen bonds mediate the characteristic L-shaped molecular structure. tRNAs have two regions of fundamental functional importance: the anti-codon, which is responsible for specific mRNA codon recognition, and the 3' end, to which the tRNAs corresponding amino acid is attached (by aminoacyl-tRNA synthetases). tRNAs cope with the degeneracy of the genetic code in two manners: having more than one tRNA (with a specific anti-codon) for a particular amino acid; and 'wobble' base-pairing, i.e. permitting non-standard base-pairing at the 3rd anti-codon position. The record is from RNAcentral. RNAcentral also lists the same sequence under 2 other names. Lineage: Bacteria; Bacillati; Actinomycetota; Coriobacteriia; Eggerthellales; Eggerthellaceae.
GGAGAGCUGUCCGAGCUGGCCGAAGGAGCACGAUUGGAAAUCGUGUAUGCCCCAAAAGGGUAUCUGGGGUUCGAAUCCCCAGCUCUCCGCCA